GGAAGUAAAAGUCGUAACAAAGUUUCCGUAGGUGAACCUGCGGAAGGAUCAUUCAUAAUAAAGUGUUUUAUGGCACUUUUUAAAAAUCCAUAUCCACCUUGUGUGCAAUGUUAGAUCUCGUCAAUCUUGGCGAGAUUUUUAUACAUCAACUCAUUCUUUAUCUAAUUUGUCUGAAAAAUAUUAUGAAUACUUAAUUCAAAAUACAACUUUCAACAACGGAUCUCUUGGCUCUC
This 233-nucleotide unclassified non-coding RNA is filed under the name plant metagenome. RNAcentral's name for it is "partial contains small subunit ribosomal RNA, internal transcribed spacer 1, and 5.8S ribosomal RNA". The stretch from base 1 to 54 matches the Rfam family "Eukaryotic small subunit ribosomal RNA", at positions 1778 to 1831 of the family's 1831-position model. The record is from RNAcentral.